GACGAACGCUGGCGGCGUGCUUAACACAUGCAAGUCGAACGGAAAGGCCCUGCUUUUGUGGGGUGCUCGAGUGGCGAACGGGUGAGUAACACGUGAGUAACCUGCCCUUGACUUUGGGAUAACUUCAGGAAACUGGGGCUAAUACCGGAUAGGAGCUCCUGCUGCAUGGUGGGGGUUGGAAAGUUUCGGCGGUUGGGGAUGGACUCGCGGCUUAUCAGCUUGUUGGUGGGGUAGUGGCUUACCAAGGCUUUGACGGGUAGCCGGCCUGAGAGGGUGACCGGCCACAUUGGGACUGAGAUGCGGCCCAGACUCCAACGGGAGGCAGCAGGGGGGAAUAUUGCACAAUGGGCGGAAGCCUGAGGCAGCAACGCCGCGUGCGGGAUGACGGCCUUCGGGUUGUAAACCGCUUUCGCCUGUGACGAAGCGUGAGUGACGGUAAUGGGUAAAGAAGCACCGGCUAACUACGUG
Molecule: ribosomal RNA, 468 nt
Filed under: uncultured bacterium
Lineage: Bacteria
Description: partial 16S ribosomal RNA
Rfam family: Bacterial small subunit ribosomal RNA
Source: RNAcentral